Molecule: ribosomal RNA, 431 nt
Filed under: uncultured bacterium
Lineage: Bacteria
Description: partial 16S ribosomal RNA
Rfam family: Bacterial small subunit ribosomal RNA
Source: RNAcentral
AACGAACGCUGGCGGCAGGCUUAACACAUGCAAGUCGAACGCCCCGCAAGGGGAGUUGCAGACGGGUGAGUAACUCGUCGGAACAUACCCUUUUCUACGGAAUAGCUCUGGUAAACUGGUAUUAAUACCGUAUACGCCCUACGGAGGAACGAUUUAUCGGGGAAUGAUUGGCCCGCGGUGGAUUAGCUAGUUGGCGGGGUAAACGCCCACAAACGCCACGAUCCAUAGCGGGUCUGAAAGGAUGAUGAGCCACAGUGGGACUGAGACCCCGCCCACACCCCAACCGGCGGCAGCCGUGGGGAAUAUUGGACAAUGGGCGCAAGCGUGAUCCAGCAAUGUGGGGUGAGUGAUGAAGGCCUUAGGGUUGUAAAGCCCUUUCACCGAUGAAGCUAAUGACGGUAGUCGGAGAAGAAGCACCGGCUAACUUCGUG